GGAUGCGUGGCAGAGCGGCCUAAUGCGGCGGUCUUGAAAACCGCUGACGAGCAAUCGUCCGGGGGUUCAAAUCCCUCCGCAUCCGCCG
RNAcentral lists this transfer RNA (88 nucleotides) under Gryllotalpicola protaetiae. RNAcentral's name for it is "Gryllotalpicola sp. 2DFW10M-5 tRNA-Ser". It matches the Rfam family "tRNA". From Rfam's summary of the family: Transfer RNA (tRNA) molecules are approximately 80 nucleotides in length. Lineage: Bacteria; Bacillati; Actinomycetota; Actinomycetes; Micrococcales; Microbacteriaceae. The record is from RNAcentral.